AUCCAACUGUCGAGUCCCAAACAAGACGAAACGCGUGUCCACGAU
Molecule: non-coding RNA, 45 nt
Organism: Schistosoma mattheei
Lineage: Eukaryota; Metazoa; Platyhelminthes; Trematoda; Strigeidida; Schistosomatidae
Source: Rfam